AGUGAACGCUGGCGGUAGGCCUAACACAUGCAAGUCGAACGGCAGCACAGUAAGAGCUUGCUCUUACGGGUGGCGAGUGGCGGACGGGUGAGGAAUACAUCGGAAUCUACUUUUUCGUGGGGGAUAACGUAGGGAAACUUACGCUAAUACCGCAUACGACCUACGGGUGAAAGCAGGGGAUCUUCGGACCUUGCGCGAUUGAAUGAGCCGAUGUCGGAUUAGCUAGUUGGCGGGGUAAAGGCCCACCAAGGCGACGAUCCGUAGCUGGUCUGAGAGGAUGAUCAGCCACACUGAAACUGAGACACGGUCCAGACUCCUACGGGAGGCAGCAGUGGGGAAUAUUGGACAAUGGGCGCAAGCCUGAUCCAGCCAUACCGCGUGGGUGAAGAAGGCUUUCGGGUUGUAAAGCCCUUUUGUUGGGAAAGAAAAGCAGCAGGUUAAUACCCCGCUGUUCUGACGGUACCCAAAGAAUAAGCACCGGCUAACUUCGU
This 491-nucleotide ribosomal RNA is filed under the name uncultured bacterium. RNAcentral's name for it is "partial 16S ribosomal RNA". It matches the Rfam family "Bacterial small subunit ribosomal RNA", at positions 29 to 506 of the family's 1533-position model. The record is from RNAcentral.